RNAcentral lists this unclassified non-coding RNA (343 nucleotides) under Athalia rosae (coleseed sawfly). RNAcentral's name for it is "misc RNA ENSAEAG00005006438.1". The record is from RNAcentral. Lineage: Eukaryota; Metazoa; Arthropoda; Insecta; Hymenoptera; Athaliidae.
CCUUUUGGAGUCAGGUGAUUGCAUCAACUUUCGUGGUGGAGUUUUAACAUAUGGUCCAAUAAUUGGUAAAACGGGUGAAUUAUCUCUGGGUAGAAAGUGAUAGAGAUAAGUAUGUGCGAGCUGAACGUAUAUCGUCUCCCAAUUGACCCAAACAUUAUCUUCUUGUUGCACUUGUAACCAUGGGUUGGUCAAGUGGUAAGCAAAGUGAAAUAUGUAGUACUCAAAGGGAUUCAUAAACAAAGCACUUGGAAGUCUCGUAUUUUGGUCAACCCUGAUUUUGUCGGAAUAAAACGGUGGAACGAUCCCAUCUUCUAGCAUAAGACGUAUCUUUGACUGUGGAAAA